UGAAUUGCAGAAUCCCGUGAACCAUNGAGUCUUUGNCCGCAAGUUGCGCCWGAAGCCAUUAGGCUAAGGGCAUGUCUGCUUGGGAGUCANGCAUCGCAUCACCCCUUCCACUAAAUUGGMGGAUGGGGUG
RNAcentral lists this ribosomal RNA (130 nucleotides) under Mimophytum alienum. RNAcentral's name for it is "5.8S ribosomal RNA". The stretch from base 1 to 89 matches the Rfam family "5.8S ribosomal RNA", at positions 68 to 154 of the family's 154-position model. From Rfam's summary of the family: 5.8S ribosomal RNA (5.8S rRNA) is a component of the large subunit of the eukaryotic ribosome. It is transcribed by RNA polymerase I as part of the 45S precursor that also contains 18S and 28S rRNA. Functionally, it is thought that 5.8S rRNA may be involved in ribosome translocation. Lineage: Eukaryota; Viridiplantae; Streptophyta; Magnoliopsida; Boraginales; Boraginaceae. The record is from RNAcentral.